GGUUAAGCGACUAAGCGUACACGGUGGAUGCCCUGGCAGUCAGAGGCGAUGAAGGACGUGCUAAUCUGCGAUAAGCGUCGGUAAGGUGAUAUGAACCGUUAUAACCGGCGAUUUCCGAAUGGGGAAACCCAGUGUGAUUCGUCACACUAUCAUUAACUGAAUCCAUAGGUUAAUGAGGCGAACCGGGGGAACUGAAACAUCUAAGUACCCCGAGGAAAAGAAAUCAACCGAGAUUCCCCCAGUAGCGGCGAGCGAACGGGGAGGAGCCCAGAGCCUGAAUCAGUGUGUGUGUUAGUGGAAGCGUCUGGAAAGGCGCGCGAUACAGGGUGACAGCCCCGUACACAAAAAUGCACAUGCUGUGAGCUCGAUGAGUAGGGCGGGACACGUGGUAUCCUGUCUGAAUAUGGGGGGACCAUCCUCCAAGGCUAAAUACUCCUGACUGACCGAUAGUGAACCAGUACCGUGAGGGAAAGGCGAAAAGAACCCCGGCGAGGGGAGUGAAAAAGAACCUGAAACCGUGUACGUACAAGCAGUGGGAGCACAGAGCAAUCUGUGUGACUGCGUACCUUUUGUAUAAUGGGUCAGCGACUUAUAUUCUGUAGCAAGGUUAACCGAAUAGGGGAGCCGAAGGGAAACCGAGUCUUAACUGGGCGUUAAGUUGCAGGGUAUAGACCCGAAACCCGGUGAUCUAGCCAUGGGCAGGUUGAAGGUUGGGUAACACUAACUGGAGGACCGAACCGACUAAUGUUGAAAAAUUAGCGGAUGACUUGUGGCUGGGGGUGAAAGGCCAAUCAAACCGGGAGAUAGCUGGUUCUCCCCGAAAGCUAUUUAGGUAGCGCCUCGUGAAUUCAUCUCCGGGGGUAGAGCACUGUUUCGGCAAGGGGGUCAUCCCGACUUACCAACCCGAUGCAAACUGCGAAUACCGGAGAAUGUUAUCACGGGAGACACACGGCGGGUGCUAACGUCCGUCGUGAAGAGGGAAACAACCCAGACCGCCAGCUAAGGUCCCAAAGUCAUGGUUAAGUGGGAAACGAUGUGGGAAGGCCCAGACAGCCAGGAUGUUGGCUUAGAAGCAGCCAUCAUUUAAAGAAAGCGUAAUAGCUCACUGGUCGAGUCGGCCUGCGCGGAAGAUGUAACGGGGCUAAACCAUGCACCGAAGCUGCGGCAGCGACACUAUGUGUUGUUGGGUAGGGGAGCGUUCUGUAAGCCUGUGAAGGUGUGCUGUGAGGCAUGCUGGAGGUAUCAGAAGUGCGAAUGCUGACAUAAGUAACGAUAAAGCGGGUGAAAAGCCCGCUCGCCGGAAGACCAAGGGUUCCUGUCCAACGUUAAUCGGGGCAGGGUGAGUCGACCCCUAAGGCGAGGCCGAAAGGCGUAGUCGAUGGGAAACAGGUUAAUAUUCCUGUACUUGGUGUUACUGCGAAGGGGGGACGGAGAAGGCUAUGUUGGCCGGGCGACGGUUGUCCCGGUUUAAGCGUGUAGGCUGGUUUUCCAGGCAAAUCCGGAAAAUCAAGGCUGAGGCGUGAUGACGAGGCACUACGGUGCUGAAGCAACAAAUGCCCUGCUUCCAGGAAAAGCCUCUAAGCAUCAGGUAACAUCAAAUCGUACCCCAAACCGACACAGGUGGUCAGGUAGAGAAUACCAAGGCGCUUGAGAGAACUCGGGUGAAGGAACUAGGCAAAAUGGUGCCGUAACUUCGGGAGAAGGCACGCUGAUAUGUAGGUGAAGCGACUUGCUCGUGGAGCUGAAAUCAGUCGAAGAUACCAGCUGGCUGCAACUGUUUAUUAAAAACACAGCACUGUGCAAACACGAAAGUGGACGUAUACGGUGUGACGCCUGCCCGGUGCCGGAAGGUUAAUUGAUGGGGUCAGCGCAAGCGAAGCUCUUGAUCGAAGCCCCGGUAAACGGCGGCCGUAACUAUAACGGUCCUAAGGUAGCGAAAUUCCUUGUCGGGUAAGUUCCGACCUGCACGAAUGGCGUAAUGAUGGCCAGGCUGUCUCCACCCGAGACUCAGUGAAAUUGAACUCGCUGUGAAGAUGCAGUGUACCCGCGGCAAGACGGAAAGACCCCGUGAACCUUUACUAUAGCUUGACACUGAACAUUGAGCCUUGAUG
Molecule: ribosomal RNA, 2111 nt
Filed under: Escherichia coli
Lineage: Bacteria; Pseudomonadati; Pseudomonadota; Gammaproteobacteria; Enterobacterales; Enterobacteriaceae
Description: partial 23S ribosomal RNA
Rfam family: Bacterial large subunit ribosomal RNA
Source: RNAcentral